This 279-nucleotide ribosomal RNA is filed under the name uncultured bacterium. Its description in RNAcentral is "partial 16S ribosomal RNA". It matches the Rfam family "Bacterial small subunit ribosomal RNA", at positions 506 to 784 of the family's 1533-position model. The record is from RNAcentral.
UGCCAGCAGCCGCGGUAAUACGGAGGGAGCUAGCGUUGUUCGGAAUUACUGGGCGUAAAGCGCACGUAGGCGGAUUAGUAAGUGUGGAGUGAAAGCCCACGGCUCACCCGUGGAAUUGCUUUGCAAACUGUAUGGCUCGAGGAUGGUAGGGGAGAGCGGAACUCUUGGUGGAGCGGUGAAAUGCGUAGAUAUCAAGAGGAACACCGGUGGCGAAGGCGGCUCUCUGGUCCAUUUCUGACGCUGAGGUGCGAAAGCUAGGGUAGCGAACGGGAUUAGAUA